Molecule: non-coding RNA, 136 nt
Filed under: Candidatus Amesbacteria bacterium GW2011_GWB1_47_19
Lineage: Bacteria; Candidatus Amesiibacteriota
Also listed under: 1 other name
Source: RNAcentral
AGACCCGGAUUUUUAUAGAUUUUAUAUCAGAGCAAAAUCUUAUACGGAUUUUGCCCGAAAAAUUGGGUCGUUGCAUCCUGAAAAGAUGUCUUUGUUGAGGAUGAAGAUAUAGUCCAAGCCCCGAUGAAAAUCGGGG